Molecule: long non-coding RNA, 1938 nt
Organism: Chelonoidis abingdonii (Abingdon island giant tortoise)
Lineage: Eukaryota; Metazoa; Chordata; Testudines; Testudinidae
Source: RefSeq, a predicted model, not a curated record
CAGUUUAGCAGGGCAAUGCUCAAACCACUGAGCUAUCCCUCCCCCAUAUAACUAUCUAAUCCUGCUCCACUUGUUUUGUAGAUUCAGAAGCUUGGACAAGUACUGGCCUGCAUCACCCCAUUUUCUUGGUCCAGCAACUGUGUGAGAGAAAGAGGGAUGAUGCUGUUGAGGCAGUUGACCAGCCUUCCAUAUGGAAAAGAGCCGGAUCCCGCAAUGUGUACUCAAGCAAGACUCUUAGAUCACAAGAUUUGGCCCUUAGAGAUGACUGGCUCUACAUGCUAUGAUGGCAUUGAUUUUUAUGCAUAUUAAAACAAUUGAUGGCAUUAUAUGGCUCUGUAUACCCAGGACUCUAAACAAUUACCUACAAUGAGGAGGUACUACCUAUGUAUGAUGACUUAAAUUUGAUAUAGGUAAACUCAACAUUAUUUUGCCACACAAACAGAAUGUACCAAACAAAGAUGAUUUACUACUUUAAGCACCAAUUAUCACAUGCCAAAAUUCCCUGAAGCCACAGGUUACCAACAGGAUGACUCAGCCCUUCAUAUGUCUGAGGAAUAUGCAAAAACAAAUGAUCACAAUCUGAGGAGAAAGACAUUUGAAUACAUGCUACCGUUGUUACUACUGACAUCAGGAGGGCAGCAAAUGCAAACAUACAAGUCCAUUUCAUACUAAAAGUCAGAGCCCAGCUAAGGGAAAGCAAGAUUCAGCAUCAAAGUAAGGAUGAGCUCUCACCACAACGCAUUGCAUAACUGUGACGCUGUAGCAGCUUUUGAGCUCCACAAGAUAGGAAAACAGUAACUAGCUAAGCAGAGUUCACCAGACCUAAGGAAAUCUUUGGUUAGGGUAUGUCUACACAUGGAAUUAUUCCAGACCAGAUUAGCUGUUCCCAUCCACGUUUGAAUUCUUGUUCUGAAAUAAAAAUUAAUCCAGAAGAGUUCAUCUGGAAUAAUUAAUAUCAUGCUUUAUUUUAUUCCAGAAUAGCUCUCCCGUGUAGACAAGCCCAUAUAAAAUAUAUUAGGUAAAUAAUGGACCAUAUAUAUCCUAAAUGGCUUAAAGCUUCAUGUGAAGCCACCAGUUUCAAACAGGCCUUACUCAACCUAUAGCAAUAUAAAUAAGUAAGGCCUGGCACUAAAAGGGUUAACUUGAGAUGGAGAACUCAGUCAAGGCAUCUGGGGGGUGGCCCAGGCACCAACCCAGCUGGAGAAGGAGCUGGAUGGUGAGGAAGCCCACUGAGAAGGGAGUACUAUGAGAAAGAACUCUGUAGCCUGGCUGCUAGAGAAUGGUGGAAAGGCCUCUAGAGAGUGAGGUAGAUAUACAGUAAGCCCAGAGAGAGGCUGUGGAAAAGGACCUGAAGAAAGGCCAAGGUAAGAAGACAUCCAGAGAGGCAGUGAGCAGUCUGAGGUAGCAGACAUUAGUGCUUAUCACAGGGUCCUUGUUCUGGAACCCAGAAGAGAAAGAGGGACUGAGCUCCCCUACUAGCUGCUGGGAAACACUCUAACAUGAUGGGGAGAAGGGCUACUGAGUCUGGAACUGGGCAUCCAGGGAGAAAGACCAGGGAAGUCUUGUUCUGCACAAGAGUGGGAGGACAACCCUGCAGAGCCUCAGAAGAGGUGAAGAGUCUGCAGAGGAUCCAGCCUAGGAAUGAGUGAAGAGGAGGUGUUGGUGCAGAUAUACAUUCAAGGAAAAUGAAAUUCAUGGUGCCAGAGCCUAACAUCUAGUGAAUCAGAGAAAGAUCCUUGAAGAUCAAAAGCAGAACCAUUUAGAGGAGCUGAUAGUGCCCCAUCAAACAGCAUGCACCUGUUUGGGUAUCUUUGCAUUUACUAGAAUUGGACAACAGCAAUAGAUGGGCAAAAAGAAGGCUCCAGAGAAAGAUAUUCAAAGAGAAGGAGACAGCUGGGAAGCAGUAAUAUUGAGAUGUUUGGAGUGAUGGUACACAGG